AUUGAACGCUGGCGGCAGGCCUAACACAUGCAAGUCGAGCGGUAGCACAGAGAGCUUGCUCUCGGGUGACGAGCGGCGGACGGGUGAGUAAUGUCUGGGAAACUGCCUGAUGGAGGGGGAUAACUACUGGAAACGGUAGCUAAUACCGCAUAACGUCGCAAGACCAAAGUGGGGGACCUUCGGGCCUCAUGCCAUCAGAUGUGCCCAGAUGGGAUUAGCUAGUAGGUGGGGUAACGGCUCACCUAGGCGACGAUCCCUAGCUGGUCUGAGAGGAUGACCAGCCACACUGGAACUGAGACACGGUCCAGACUCCUACGGGAGGCAGCAGUGGGGAAUAUUGCACAAUGGGCGCAAGCCUGAUGCAGCCAUGCCGCGUGUGUGAAGAAGGCCUUCGGGUUGUAAAGCACUUUCAGCGGGGAGGAAGGCGGUGAGGUUAAUAACCUCAUCGAUUGACGUUACCCGCAGAAGAAGCACCGGCUAACUCCGUGCCAGCAGCCGCGGUAAUACGGAGGGUGCAAGCGUUAAUCGGAAUUACUGGGCGUAAAGCGCACGCAGGCGGUCUGUCAAGUCGGAUGUGAAAUCCCCGGGCUCAACCUGGGAACUGCAUUCGAAACUGGCAGGCUAGAGUCUUGUAGAGGGGGGUAGAAUUCCAGGUGUAGCGGUGAAAUGCGUAGAGAUCUGGAGGAAUACCGGUGGCGAAGGCGGCCCCCUGGACAAAGACUGACGCUCAGGUGCGAAAGCGUGGGGAGCAAACAGGAUUAGAUACCCUGGUAGUCCACGCCGUAAACGAUGUCGAUUUGGAGGUUGUGCCCUUGAGGCGUGGCUUCCGGAGCUAACGCGUUAAAUCGACCGCCUGGGGAGUACGGCCGCAAGGUUAAAACUCAAAUGAAUUGACGGGGGCCCGCACAAGCGGUGGAGCAUGUGGUUUAAUUCGAUGCAACGCGAAGAACCUUACCUGGUCUUGACAUCCACAGAACUUUCCAGAGAUGGAUUGGUGCCUUCGGGAACUGUGAGACAGGUGCUGCAUGGCUGUCGUCAGCUCGUGUUGUGAAAUGUUGGGUUAAGUCCCGCAACGAGCGCAACCCUUAUCCUUUGUUGCCAGCGGUUAGGCCGGGAACUCAAAGGAGACUGCCAGUGAUAAACUGGAGGAAGGUGGGGAUGACGUCAAGUCAUCAUGGCCCUUACGACCAGGGCUACACACGUGCUACAAUGGCAUAUACAAAGAGAAGCGACCUCGCGAGAGCAAGCGGACCUCAUAAAGUAUGUCGUAGUCCGGAUUGGAGUCUGCAACUCGACUCCAUGAAGUCGGAAUCGCUAGUAAUCGUAGAUCAGAAUGCUACGGUGAAUACGUUCCCGGGCCU
This 1361-nucleotide ribosomal RNA is filed under the name uncultured bacterium. RNAcentral describes it as "bacterial SSU rRNA". It matches the Rfam family "Bacterial small subunit ribosomal RNA", at positions 28 to 1381 of the family's 1533-position model. The record is from RNAcentral.